This 163-nucleotide ribosomal RNA is filed under the name uncultured bacterium. RNAcentral describes it as "partial 16S ribosomal RNA". It matches the Rfam family "Bacterial small subunit ribosomal RNA", at positions 338 to 524 of the family's 1533-position model. The record is from RNAcentral.
CCUACGGGAGGCAGCAGUGGGGAAUUUUGGACAAUGGGGGAAAGCCUGAUCCAGCCAUGCCGCGUGUGGGAUGAAGGCCUUCGGGUUGUAAAGCACUUUUGUCCGGAAAGAAAAGAUUUGCCCUAAUACGGGGGAGGAUGACGUACCCAGCAGCCGCGGUAAU